Long non-coding RNA from Priapulus caudatus, 671 nucleotides. RefSeq lists it as uncharacterized. The record is from RefSeq and is a predicted model, not a curated record. NCBI's taxonomy places the organism in Eukaryota, Metazoa, Priapulida, Priapulimorpha, Priapulimorphida, Priapulidae. The transcript is spliced from 3 exons.
UUUGUGGUAACACAGUGUGCUUUGUGGUAACACAGGGUGCUGUGUGGUAACACGUAAGGUGCUUUGUGGUAACACAGGGUGCUGUGUGGUAACACGUAAGGUGCUUUGUGGUAACACAGGGUGUUGUGUGGUAACACGUAAGGUGCUUUGUGGUAACACAGGGUGCUUUGUGGUAACAUGUAAGGUGCUGUGUGGUAAAACGUAAGGUGCUUUGUGGUAACACAGGGUGCUGUGUGGUAACACGUAAGGUGCUUUGUGGUAACACAGGGUGCUGUGUGGUAACACAGGGUGCUGUGUGGUAACACAGUGUUGUACGGUAUCAUAUAGGGUGUUGUGUAGUAUCACAUAGUGUUAUGUAAUAUCACAUAGUGUUUUGUGUGAUACCACAUACAGUGCUGGUGUAACACUGCUCUUAUGAUGCUGGGUGUAUCUCGUUUAAUAAUCUAAGAUUGUGAAGAUGCUAUUAACACGUUAUGGAUGUGUACGAGGUAUCGUAACUUUACGAUGAAAUUUCGAAGAUGUCAUGAAAAGCGCACGAGCGAGUUGUCGUUUUCGUAGCGUAUAGCUGAAGGAAUGUUCCAAGACGCAACUUCUGCCAUUGUUGCUGGUUUGAAUUUAUUGUUAACUGCUGGGUUAAUGUACUGCUAGGAAAUAAAUUUUGUAAAAUGCGU